AAACUCAAAUGAAUUGACGGGGACCCGCACAAGCGGUGGAUUAUGUGGAUUAAUUCGAUGCAACGCGAAAACCUUACCUACCCUUGACAUGCCAGGAAUCCCGAAGAGAUUUGGGAGUGCCCGAAAGGGAAUCUGGACACAGGUGCUGCAUGGCUGUCGUCAGCUCGUGUCGUGAGAUGUUGGGUUAAGUCCCGCAACGAGCGCAACCCUUGCCAUUAAUUGCCAUCAUUCAGUUGGGCACUUUAAUGGGACUGCCGGUGAUAAACCGGAGGAAGGUAGGGGAUGACGUCAAGUCCUCAUGGCCCUUAUGGGUAGGGCUUCACACGUAAUACAAUGGUCGGUACAGAGGGUCGCCAACCCGCGAGGGGAGCCAAUCCCAGAAAGCCGAUCGUAGUCCGGAUUGUUCUCUGCAACUCGAGAGCAUGAAGUCGGAAUCGCUAGUAAUCGCGGAUCAGCAUGUCGCGGGUGAAUACGUUCCCGGGU
RNAcentral lists this ribosomal RNA (483 nucleotides) under uncultured Sideroxydans sp. RNAcentral describes it as "bacterial SSU rRNA". It matches the Rfam family "Bacterial small subunit ribosomal RNA", at positions 897 to 1379 of the family's 1533-position model. Lineage: Bacteria; Pseudomonadati; Pseudomonadota; Betaproteobacteria; Nitrosomonadales; Gallionellaceae. The record is from RNAcentral.